CNAANCAUUACAAGCGAAACUGCGAAUGGCUCAUUAUAUAAGUUAUCGUUUAUUUGAUAGUACCUUACUACAUGGAUAACCGUGGUAAUUCUAGAGCUAAUACAUGCUGAAAAUCCCGACUUCGGAAGGGAUGUAUUUAUUAGAUUCAAAACCAAUGCCCUUCGGGGCUCCAAUGGUGAUUCAUGAUAACUUCUCGAAUCGCACGGCCCCGCGCCGGCGAUGGUUCAUUCAAAUUUCUUCCCUAUCAACUUUCGAUGCUACGGUAGUGUCCUAGCAUGGUUGCAACGGGUAACGGGGAAUUNGNNUGCCAUCGUAGGCGAGGGGCGUGNGAUUCGAGAAGUUAUAUGAAUCACCAUUGGAGNCCGANGGGCNUUGGUUUGNAUCUAUAAAUAAAUUUNGAAGNGGGAUUUUCAGGUUUNGNUCCUGCCUUUCCACGGUUUNGNCGG
Molecule: ribosomal RNA, 446 nt
Filed under: uncultured fungus
Lineage: Eukaryota; Fungi
Description: partial 18S ribosomal RNA
Rfam family: Eukaryotic small subunit ribosomal RNA
Source: RNAcentral